UAUCCCCCUGUGUGCCUUGAAUACUGCUAGUCUUGAGUUCGAGAGAGGUGAGUGGAAUUCCGAGUGUAGAGGUGAAAUUCGUAGAUAUUCGGAGGAACACCAGUGGCGAAGGCGGCUCACUGGCUCGAUACUGACGCUGAGGUGCGAAAGUGUGGGGAGCAAACAGGAUUAGAUACCCUGGUAGUCCACACCGUAAACGAUGAAUGCCAGUAAUUCCGAACAACGCUAACCCCCUCCGUAU
This 241-nucleotide ribosomal RNA is filed under the name uncultured Paracoccaceae bacterium. RNAcentral describes it as "uncultured Rhodobacteraceae bacterium partial 16S ribosomal RNA". It matches the Rfam family "Bacterial small subunit ribosomal RNA", at positions 610 to 867 of the family's 1533-position model. The record is from RNAcentral. Lineage: Bacteria; Pseudomonadati; Pseudomonadota; Alphaproteobacteria; Rhodobacterales; Paracoccaceae.